CACAUUAUUAUUUAUAUAAAAAUAUUACAUAAAAGGAAAUGAAUAAAUUUAUGACAAUUAUAAUUUUUUUCUUAAGUUUUUUCUUAUUAUAAUUGUUAACUAAGUUUAAAAAAAUUUAUAAAAUACGUAGAUUCACUAUUUCUUUUAAUUUUUAUCUUAUAUAUCAUGCAAAAAAAAUAUUUUAUGAAACAAAUUUGUAUCAAAAUUUUAAGAUUAUUUGCAUUAAUCAGAACAUAUGAGAUAUCCGUAAAUAUCCGCAAAUAUUUAUUUAUUUUUCGGAUAUCUGUUUUUCCGAAUAUCCGUAUUUUUCCGAAGCAAAGCAAAUCGAAAAAUUAUAUAUCCGUGUCAUACGAAGAAAAUCACAAAUACCUUCAAAAACCCGAAUAUCCAAUCCCUGUACAGGCCUAUUCAACACUUCUCGACUAUGGAUAUUAAACAUGCUAGGAAUAUCUCUUACUUGAAGUAGAAAUUGUUGAUCUUAAAUUUUCCAAUGAUUUUGUCAGGUAUGUUAUUGGGUAAGACUGGCCCUGAAUCCAAGUAAAACCACGCUUCGCCUUGCCACACCAACAUUAAUAUUUUUAUUUAUCGGCCUUUAUUUUAAUCUACAGUUAAAAAUUUUGAUUAUAAACUUUCAUCCCAUGAAAUCAAGUCCUUUCUUCAUUGAUUUUGUUAGGGUCACAAGCUCGAAACCUCGAUCACUCUCAAUCUCUCAC
Molecule: long non-coding RNA, 713 nt
Filed under: Brassica napus (rape)
Lineage: Eukaryota; Viridiplantae; Streptophyta; Magnoliopsida; Brassicales; Brassicaceae
Description: long non-coding RNA (BNAP_LNC013327)
Source: RNAcentral